CCUACGGGUGGCAGCAGUGGGGGAUAUUGCACAAUGGGGGGAACCCUGAAGCAGCGACGCCGCGUGAGCGAUGAAGUAUUUCGGUAUGUAAAGCUCUAUCAGCAGGGAAGAAAAUGACGGUACCUGACUAAUAAGCACCGGCUAACUACGUGCCAGCAGCCGCGGUAAUACGUAGGGGGCAAGCGUUAUCCGGAUUUACUGGGUGUAAAGGGAGCGUAGACGGGAGUGCAAGUCUGAAGUGAAAGGCAAGGGCUCAACCUGUGGACUGCUUUGGAAACUGUUCUGCUGGAGUGUCGGAGAGGCAAGUGGAAUUCCUAGUGUAGAGGUGAAAUGCGUAGAUAUUAGGAGGAACACUAGUGGCGAAGGCGGCUUGCUGGACGAUGACUGACGUUGAGGCGCGAAAGCGUGGGGAGCAAACAGGAUUAGAUACCCUUGUAGUC
This 440-nucleotide ribosomal RNA is filed under the name uncultured bacterium. Its description in RNAcentral is "partial 16S ribosomal RNA". It matches the Rfam family "Bacterial small subunit ribosomal RNA", at positions 338 to 795 of the family's 1533-position model. The record is from RNAcentral.